This 245-nucleotide ribosomal RNA is filed under the name uncultured bacterium. RNAcentral describes it as "partial 16S ribosomal RNA". It matches the Rfam family "Bacterial small subunit ribosomal RNA", at positions 524 to 768 of the family's 1533-position model. The record is from RNAcentral.
AACGUAGGUGACAAGCGUUAUCCGGAUUUACUGGGCGUAAAGGGUGUGCAGGCGGGGGGAUAAGUGGUGUAUGAAAGUGCCCGGCUUAACCGGGCGAGGCUAUGCCAGACUGUCCUUCUUGAGCGCGAGAGAGGAGCGUGGAAUUCCGGGUGUAGUGGUGAAAUGCGUAGAGAUCCGGAGGAACCCCAGAGGCGAAGGCGGCGCUCUGGCUCGCGACUGACGCUCAGACACGACAGCAUGGGGAG